This is a non-coding RNA of Auriculariales sp. MPI-PUGE-AT-0066, 73 nucleotides long. The record is from the annotation of a GenBank genome assembly. NCBI's taxonomy places the organism in Eukaryota, Fungi, Basidiomycota, Agaricomycetes, Auriculariales.
GAUUCCAUGGUGUAGUGGUUAUCACGUUUGUCUUACACACAAAAGGUCCUGGGAUCGACCCCCAGUGGAAUCA